AUUGAACGCUGGCGGCAUGCUUUACACAUGCAAGUCGAACGGUAACAGGUCUUCGGAUGCUGACGAGUGGAGAACGGGCGAGUAAUACACCGGAACGUGCCCGAUCGUGGGGGAUAACGAAGCGAAAGCAUUGCUAAUACAGCAUAAGAUAUACGGUCGAAAGGAGGGGACGGCAAGGCCUUGCGCCGACGGAGCGGCCGAUGGCAGAGUAGGUAGAUGGUGGGCUAAAAGCUUACGAUGCCGAAGAGUUGAAGCGGGUCUGAGAGGACGACCAGCCACAUUGGGACGUGGACGCCGCCCAGGCUACUACGGGAGGGCGCAGUGGGCAAUUUUGGGCAACGGGCGAGAGUCUGAUCCAACCGUGCCGCGUGCAGGAUAAAGACCUUCGGGUUGUAAACUGCGUUUUUACGGAACGAAAAGACUUUGGUUAAUACCUGGGGUGCAUGACGGUACCGUAUAAAUAAGCACCGGCUAACUACGUG
This 482-nucleotide ribosomal RNA is filed under the name uncultured bacterium. RNAcentral describes it as "partial 16S ribosomal RNA". It matches the Rfam family "Bacterial small subunit ribosomal RNA", at positions 29 to 507 of the family's 1533-position model. The record is from RNAcentral.